AGAGUUUGAUCCUGGCUCAGGACGAACGCUGGCGGCGUGCCUAACACAUGCAAGUCGAACGGGGCUAGAGGAGCUUGCUCCUCGACGCCUAGUGGCGGACGGGUGAGUAACGCGUGAGUAACCUGCCUUUCAGAGGGGAAUAACGUUCUGAAAAGAACGCUAAUACCGCAUAACGUGCAGCUUUCGCAUGGAAGCAGUACCAAAGGAGCAAUCCGCUGAGAGAUGGACUCGCGUCCGAUUAGCUAGUUGGUGGGGUAAAGGCCUACCAAGGCGACGAUCGGUAGCCGGACUGAGAGGUUGAACGGCCACAUUGGGACUGAGACACGGCCCAGACUCCUACGGGAGGCAGCAGUGGGGGAUAUUGCACAAUGGGGGAAACCCUGAUGCAGCAACGCCGCGUGUGGGAAGAAGGUUUUCGGAUUGUAAACCACUGUUCUUGGUGAAGAUAAUGACGGUAACCAAGGAGAAAGCUCCGGCUAACUACGUG
This 487-nucleotide ribosomal RNA is filed under the name uncultured Oscillospiraceae bacterium. RNAcentral describes it as "bacterial SSU rRNA". It matches the Rfam family "Bacterial small subunit ribosomal RNA", at positions 8 to 507 of the family's 1533-position model. Lineage: Bacteria; Bacillati; Bacillota; Clostridia; Eubacteriales; Oscillospiraceae. The record is from RNAcentral.